This 1352-nucleotide ribosomal RNA is filed under the name Staphylococcus aureus. Its description in RNAcentral is "partial 23S ribosomal RNA". It matches the Rfam family "Bacterial large subunit ribosomal RNA", at positions 1487 to 2838 of the family's 2925-position model. Lineage: Bacteria; Bacillati; Bacillota; Bacilli; Caryophanales; Staphylococcaceae. The record is from RNAcentral.
CGAAGCGUGCGAUUGGAUUGCACGUCUAAGCAGUAAGGCUGAGUAUUAGGCAAAUCCGGUACUCGUUAAGGCUGAGCUGUGAUGGGGAGAAGACAUUGUGUCUUCGAGUCGUUGAUUUCACACUGCCGAGAAAAGCCUCUAGAUAGAAAAUAGGUGCCCGUACCGCAAACCGACACAGGUAGUCAAGAUGAGAAUUCUAAGGUGAGCGAGCGAACUCUCGUUAAGGAACUCGGCAAAAUGACCCCGUAACUUCGGGAGAAGGGGUGCUCUUUAGGGUUAACGCCCAGAAGAGCCGCAGUGAAUAGGCCCAAGCGACUGUUUAUCAAAAACACAGGUCUCUGCUAAACCGUAAGGUGAUGUAUAGGGGCUGACGCCUGCCCGGUGCUGGAAGGUUAAGAGGAGUGGUUAGCUUCUGCGAAGCUACGAAUCGAAGCCCCAGUAAACGGCGGCCGUAACUAUAACGGUCCUAAGGUAGCGAAAUUCCUUGUCGGGUAAGUUCCGACCCGCACGAAAGGCGUAACGAUUUGGGCACUGUCUCAACGAGAGACUCGGUGAAAUCAUAGUACCUGUGAAGAUGCAGGUUACCCGCGACAGGACGGAAAGACCCCGUGGAGCUUUACUGUAGCCUGAUAUUGAAAUUCGGCACAGCUUGUACAGGAUAGGUAGGAGCCUUUGAAACGUGAGCGCUAGCUUACGUGGAGGCGCUGGUGGGAUACUACCCUAGCUGUGUUGGCUUUCUAACCCGCACCACUUAUCGUGGUGGGAGACAGUGUCAGGCGGGCAGUUUGACUGGGGCGGUCGCCUCCUAAAAGGUAACGGAGGCGCUCAAAGGUUCCCUCAGAAUGGUUGGAAAUCAUUCAUAGAGUGUAAAGGCAUAAGGGAGCUUGACUGCGAGACCUACAAGUCGAGCAGGGUCGAAAGACGGACUUAGUGAUCCGGUGGUUCCGCAUGGAAGGGCCAUCGCUCAACGGAUAAAAGCUACCCCGGGGAUAACAGGCUUAUCUCCCCCAAGAGUUCACAUCGACGGGGAGGUUUGGCACCUCGAUGUCGGCUCAUCGCAUCCUGGGGCUGUAGUCGGUCCCAAGGGUUGGGCUGUUCGCCCAUUAAAGCGGUACGCGAGCUGGGUUCAGAACGUCGUGAGACAGUUCGGUCCCUAUCCGUCGUGGGCGUAGGAAAUUUGAGAGGAGCUGUCCUUAGUACGAGAGGACCGGGAUGGACAUACCUCUGGUGUACCAGUUGUCGUGCCAACGGCAUAGCUGGGUAGCUAUGUGUGGACGGGAUAAGUGCUGAAAGCAUCUAAGCAUGAAGCCCCCCUCAAGAUGAGAUUUCCCAACUUCGGUUAUAAGAUCCCU